Brassica oleracea var. oleracea is the source of this 207-nucleotide long non-coding RNA. RefSeq lists it as uncharacterized. The record is from RefSeq and is a predicted model, not a curated record. NCBI's taxonomy places the organism in Eukaryota, Viridiplantae, Streptophyta, Magnoliopsida, Brassicales, Brassicaceae. The transcript is spliced from 3 exons.
CCUUAAUGCAACUUCAGGAACACACAUUUAUUUCGAUAAGGAGACUAAUGUUAGGAGAGGUCCUCUUCUACAAACACUGGGCUUCAGUCAGUAGCUCCGCUUCUGAAAGGAUAUGCCACGGUUGAGAAUCUGACCAUAUCCGAGCUUAAUGAGUUUGUCAUAGCUGCACUGUCUCAGGACAUCGAUUUCAUGUGUUCUGGGAAAGUG